GCAUGUUUUUCUUCUUAUCUCUGAGGUUCUGAUUUUGCUUAAUAUACUGAUUGUAUCUUCACCAGUUUUUUCAUUUUAAAAACCUACGUAUUAAAGGAAGAUAAUAUUAUAGAGGAAGAGACCACUACAGAGGAAUGUCUAAUGUUGACAUAUGGGAGAAGAGCACAUUAGGUAACAUUUACUAAAAGAGAUGAUAUUUAGUAUUUCCUAACUCCCUGAAUAGACAGCAACAUUAUUUAAACCUGUUCACAAACUAGUAAAAUUUAUAGUCCUCCCCUUACAUCAACUUAUAGCCAAGCAUCUUCCCCACAUCUACAUAUAGAGCCUUACAUCUCCCCCACACAUCAAAAUUCACACCACACAGUAUGAUUUUCCAGAGUUAUGUAAAACUCAAA
Molecule: long non-coding RNA, 395 nt
Filed under: Pan troglodytes (chimpanzee)
Lineage: Eukaryota; Metazoa; Chordata; Mammalia; Primates; Hominidae
Description: long non-coding RNA NONPTRT016272
Source: RNAcentral